AUGGGGGUAGGGAACGGACACUUCCGCCGUAGUGGCUCACUCAAUCGACUGUCCCACUGAAGGGGCGUAGGACGAGGGGGCGAGAGCGGCGACUUUGCCAAGCGCCUCUCGGAUGCUGCCACGGCGCCGGCCGCCGCUCCCGCCCGGGUACUGCAAAGGCGACCUGCCGCAUUCCGACUCGGGCUCUCCGCCGACUCAGCACCGCCCCUGCGCCAAGCCGGCCGGCCAGGCAGCAACAGCAGUGUCAACAGGUGGCUGA
This 259-nucleotide long non-coding RNA is filed under the name Suricata suricatta (meerkat). Its description in RNAcentral is "lncRNA (ENSSSUG00005011063.1)". Lineage: Eukaryota; Metazoa; Chordata; Mammalia; Carnivora; Herpestidae. The record is from RNAcentral.